AUUGAACGCUGGCGGCAUGCUUUACACAUGCAAGUCGAACGGUAACAGGUUUUCGGAUGCUGACGAGUGGCGAACGGGUGAGUAACACAUCGGAACGUGCCUAGUAGUGGGGGAUAACUACUCGAAAGAGUAGCUAAUACCGCAUGAGAUCUAAGGAUGAAAGCAGGGGACCUUCGGGCCUUGCGCUACUAGAGCGGCUGAUGGCAGAUUAGGUAGUUGGUGGAAUAAAAGCUUACCAAGCCGACGAUCUGUAGCUGGUCUGAGAGGACGACCAGCCACACUGGGACUGAGACACGGCCCAGACUCCUACGGGAGGCAGCAGUGGGGAAUUUUGGACAAUGGGCGAAAGCCUGAUCCAGCAAUGCCGCGUGUAGGAUGAAGGCCCUCGGGUUGUAAACUACUUUUGUACGGAACGAAAAGACUCUUUCUAAUAAAGAGGGUCCAUGACGGUACCGUAAGAAUAAGCACCGGCUAACUACGUGCCAGCAGCCGCGGUAAACGU
Molecule: ribosomal RNA, 502 nt
Filed under: uncultured bacterium
Lineage: Bacteria
Description: bacterial SSU rRNA
Rfam family: Bacterial small subunit ribosomal RNA
Source: RNAcentral